This 1191-nucleotide long non-coding RNA is filed under the name Lactuca sativa (garden lettuce). RNAcentral describes it as "long non-coding RNA (LSAT_LNC003366)". Lineage: Eukaryota; Viridiplantae; Streptophyta; Magnoliopsida; Asterales; Asteraceae. The record is from RNAcentral.
AUGGCUCUAAGUACAAGUCUGAAUCCUCAUUGUUUCCUGCAUCACAACAUUAGCAAUAACCAGUCUGAAUCCUCAUUAAGGAAAACGUUAUGGAACCAUGAAAUGAGUACCAAAAUUUCAAAAAAUGUUCUUCUUUUAAAGAAUCUUUUUGGGAUUAUUAGGAUAUAAUUAUACUCCUUAAACGUAUGACAGAAUUUUUAAGAAAGGUGAUGAAUUUUGUUGGGGGUAAGUUAUGAUACCUGAACAUUGGCAAAAUGGUCAUUAUCAUAAAUUUAACAUACGGACUGCUAAAGUUGAGAACAAGAGACCAAACAUAAUAUUAUCAAACAAUGAAAUGAGAGUACCAUAUUUUCAAAAAGACACUAUUUUUAAGGAUUUAGUGUUCAGCUAUGCUCCUUCAACAUAUUCGGAAAGAGAGAAAUUUUGUUGAAAUUUCAUCAUGCUCCUUGAAAAUGGAAAAGAAAGAGACGAAGAUAAGGACAUGUUGUUUAACAUCUAGGUGAUGACCCAGGUACAAAAAGCGAUUGAGAAACCAUGAAAUAAGGACCAAAUUUGCAAAAAGAUUCCCUAGCUCUUGGACCUAAACCAGCAACCUGACUAUAGAAGUAAAGAGUAGUAUAUCACAUUUUAAAAAAUCAUAAAUAUAUUUUGCCUUGUGGAAUACACAAAUGCAAAACAUGAAAACCUCAGAGAUUAUAAGAACAAAUAAACAAUAUCUAAUUAUAGCACAAAAGAAUGUAACAACUAUUGAGAGCUAAUUCAGAGGCUGCUGCUCACGUGUUUUAUUUUAAUGUGGAAUAAAUCAAACUAGUGUUUGAAAGUCCUCUAUUUUUAUGUAAGUUUUUGUUUUAAAUAGACCUGCUAUGUACGUGACUGAUAUGUCACUUUUCUCUGUUAUGAAGUUCAAUAAGAAAAGCCUCAAAAAGCUUUGGUAUGCUCUGUCCCUGUUUAGGUUACCAAAAACUGCAUAGUUUUUUCCAGUUUUGCCCUUCUAACUUUUGUCCCCUGUAAAGUUGCUUUCAUGUCCCUGUUUCUAUUUUGGUGUAAAGUUUCUAUUGGUGCUGCUAAAGUCCAACAACAACAUACCAGAUGAUAAGACACAAAUCCAGAAAAUAUAAGACAUUUUAAUCUAGGCAGCACAUUAUCACUGCAACACUUCUUGAGAAAAAAAAAGUUAUGUGCCUCAUAUCA